GAUGAACGCUGGCGGCGUGCCUAAUACAUGCAAGUCGAGCGAACGGACGAGAAGCUUGCUUCUCUGAUGUUAGCGGCGGACGGGUGAGUAACACGUGGAUAACCUACCUAUAAGACUGGGAUAACUUCGGGAAACCGGCGCUAAUACCGGAUAAUAUUUUGAACCGCAUGGUUCAAAAGUGAAAGACGGUCUUGCUGUCACUUAUAGAUGGAUCCGCGCUGCAUUAGCUAGUUGGUAAGGUAACGGCUUACCAAGGCAACGAUGCAUAGCCGACCUGAGAGGGUGAUCGGCCACACGGGAAGUGAGACACGGUCCAGACUCCUACGGGAGGCAGCAGUAGGGAAUCUUCCGCAAUGGGCGAAAGCCUGACGGAGCAACGCCGCGUGAGUGAUGAAGGUCUUCGGAUCGUAAAACUCUGUUAUUAGGGAAGAACAUAUGUGUAAGUAACUGUGCACAUCUUGACGGUACCUAAUCAGAAAGCCACGGCUAACUACGUG
RNAcentral lists this ribosomal RNA (497 nucleotides) under uncultured bacterium. RNAcentral describes it as "partial 16S ribosomal RNA". It matches the Rfam family "Bacterial small subunit ribosomal RNA", at positions 28 to 507 of the family's 1533-position model. The record is from RNAcentral.